UACGGAGGGGGCUAGCGUUGUUCGGAAUUACUGGGCGUAAAGCGCACGUAGGCGGGUCGUUAAGUCGGGGGUGAAAUCCUGGAGCUCAACUCCAGAACUGCCUUCGAUACUGGCGAUCUUGAGUCUGGGAGAGGUGAGUGGAACUCCGAGUGUAGAGGUGAAAUUCGUAGAUAUUCGGAAGAACACCAGUGGCGAAGGCGGCUCACUGGCCCGGUACUGACGCUGAGGUGCGAAAGCGUGGGGAGCAAACAGG
RNAcentral lists this ribosomal RNA (253 nucleotides) under uncultured bacterium. RNAcentral's name for it is "partial 16S ribosomal RNA". It matches the Rfam family "Bacterial small subunit ribosomal RNA", at positions 524 to 776 of the family's 1533-position model. The record is from RNAcentral.